Molecule: ribosomal RNA, 468 nt
Filed under: uncultured bacterium
Lineage: Bacteria
Description: partial 16S ribosomal RNA
Rfam family: Bacterial small subunit ribosomal RNA
Source: RNAcentral
GACGAACGCUGGCGGCGUGCUUAACACAUGCAAGUCGAACGGAAAGGCCCUGCUCUUGUGGGGUGCUCGAGUGGCGAACGGGUGAGUAACACGUGAGUAACCUGCCCUUGACUUUGGGAUAACUUCAGGAAACUGGGGCUAAUACCGGAUAGGAGCUCCUGCUGCAUGGUGGGGGUUGGAAAGUUUCGGCGGUUGGGGAUGGACUCGCGGCUUAUCAGCUUGUUGGUGGGGUAGUGGCUUACCAAGGCUUUGACGGGUAGCCGGCCUGAGAGGGUGACCGGCCACAUUGGGACUGAGAUACGGCCCAGACGCCUACGGGAGGCAGCAGUGGGGAAUAUUGCACAAUGGGCGGAAGCCUGAUGCAGCAACGCCGCGUGCGGGAUGACGGCCUUCGGGUUGUAAACCGCUUUCGCCUGUGACGAAGCGUGAGUGACGGUAAUGGGUAAAGAAGCACCGGCUAACUACGUG